This 385-nucleotide ribosomal RNA is filed under the name uncultured bacterium. Its description in RNAcentral is "bacterial SSU rRNA". It matches the Rfam family "Bacterial small subunit ribosomal RNA", at positions 28 to 416 of the family's 1533-position model. The record is from RNAcentral.
GAUGAACGUUGGCGGUGUGCCUAAUACAUGCAAGUCGAACGAAGUUGAUAGCAAUAUUAGCUUAGUGGCGAACGGGUGAGUAACGCGUUGGUGAUCUGCCUUGAAGUGUGGAAUAACGUUUCGAAAGGAACGCUAAUACCGCAUGUGCUCUCGAUUUUCAGAAAGUUGAGAGUAAAGGAUUUAUUCGCUUCAAGAGGAGCCUGCGUCCCAUCAGCUGGUUGGUAGGGUAACGGCCUACCAAGGCUAUGACGGGUAGGGGACCUGAGAGGGUGGCCCCCCACAAUGGAACUGAAACACGGUCCAUACACCUACGGGUGGCAGCAGUAGGGAAUAUUAGAAAUGGACGAAAGUCUGAUCUAGCAACACCGCGUGUGCGAAGAAGGCC